Molecule: ribosomal RNA, 492 nt
Filed under: uncultured bacterium
Lineage: Bacteria
Description: partial 16S ribosomal RNA
Rfam family: Bacterial small subunit ribosomal RNA
Source: RNAcentral
AGUGAACGCUGGCGGUAGGCCUAACACAUGCAAGUCGAACGGCAGCACAGUAAGAGCUUGCUCUUACGGGUGGCGAGUGGCGGACGGGUGAGGAAUACAUCGGAAUCUACUUUUUCGUGGGGGAUAACGUAGGGAAACUUACGCUAAUACCGCAUAUGACCUACGGGUGAAAGCAGGGGAUCUUCGGACCUUGCGCGAUUGAAUUAGCCGAUGUCGGAUUAGCUAGUUGGCGGGGUAAAGGCCCACCAAGGCGCCGAUCCGUAGCUGGUCUGAGAGGAUGGUAGGCCGCACUGGAACUGGGACACGGACCAGACUCCUACGGGAGGCAGCAGUGGGGAAUAGUGGACAAUGGGCGCAAGCCUGGUCCAGCGAUACGGCGUGGGUGAAGAAGGCCUUCGGGUUGUAAAGCCCUUUUGUUGGGAGAGAAACGCAGCAGGUUAAUACGCCGCUGUUCUGACGGUACCCAAAGAAUAAGCACCGGCUAACUUCGUG